AUGUCCGUGUCGGGGUUCAAGGCCAAGCUGAAGUUGCUGGCUCUGUCUUCCACAAGAACCAGGAGCCGCCGCCGCAGCUCAGGCUCCACUGCAACAUCACGCCAAUUGUUUUUAAGGAGAAACUAUCAAUGAAAACGGACUCGUUGAUGGAGGAAAAGUUGGAAUGCAGCCUCUAGUGCUGUUUGAGCGAUCCCUCUCCCCCGGGCCGCUGCUGUGUUCUGGAAAGGCGCAUUGUACCCUGGAUGCAGCAGGAAUCCUGUUCAUCUUCUUCACCGAUAUGGUUUGUGGACUCUGAUGAGCCAAAUCUGACAUCACUUCUGGAACGUCUAGAAGAUACUAAGGACAA
This 346-nucleotide small RNA is filed under the name Pongo abelii (Sumatran orangutan). Its description in RNAcentral is "transcribed unprocessed pseudogene". Lineage: Eukaryota; Metazoa; Chordata; Mammalia; Primates; Hominidae. The record is from RNAcentral.